CUGGCGGCGUGCCUAACACAUGCAAGUCGAACGAAGCAACCGGGGCGUUGCUCUGGUUGACUAGUGGCGGACGGGUGAGUAAUGCGUGAGCAACCUGCCUUUCAGAGGGGGACGAACAGUUGGAAACGACUGCUAAUACCGCAUAACGUAUAGAGGGGGCGAUCCCUUUUAUACCAAAGGAGCAAUCCGCUGAAAGAUGGGCUCACGUCUGAUUAGUUAGUUGGCAGGGUAACGGCCUACCAAGACUGCGAUCAGUAGCCGGACUGAGAGGUUGAACGGCCACAUUGGGACUGAGAUACGGCCCAGACUCCUACGGGAGGCAGCAGGUGGGGAAUAUUGGGCAAUGGGCGAAAGCCUCGACCCAGCAACGCCGCGUGAAGGAAGAAGGUCUUCGGAUUGUAAACUUCUUUUAUGAGGGACGAAGGACGUGACGGUACCUCAUGAAUAAGCCACGGCUAACUACGUGCCAGCCGCAGC
Molecule: ribosomal RNA, 477 nt
Filed under: uncultured bacterium
Lineage: Bacteria
Description: bacterial SSU rRNA
Rfam family: Bacterial small subunit ribosomal RNA
Source: RNAcentral